Molecule: transfer RNA, 72 nt
Organism: Caenorhabditis elegans
Lineage: Eukaryota; Metazoa; Nematoda; Chromadorea; Rhabditida; Rhabditidae
Source: Ensembl
GCCUGCUUAGUAUAGUGGUUAGUACUCCACGUUGUGGCCGUGGCGACGCUGGUUCGAUUCCAGCAGCAGGCA